Molecule: ribosomal RNA, 305 nt
Filed under: uncultured bacterium
Lineage: Bacteria
Description: bacterial SSU rRNA
Rfam family: Bacterial small subunit ribosomal RNA
Source: RNAcentral
UAUCCCUACGGGACGCAGCAGUGAGGAAUAUUGGUCAAUGGGCGCGAGCCUGAACCGGCCAAGUAGCGUGAAGGAUGACUGCCCUACGGGUUGUAAACUUCUUUUAUAAAGGAAUAAAGUGAGGCACGUGUGCCUUUUUGUAUGUACCUUAUGAAUAAGGAUCGGCUAACUCAGUGCCAGCAGCCGCGGUAAUACGGAGGAUCCGAGCGUUAUCCGGAUUUAUUGGGUUUAAAGGGAGCGUAGAUGGGUUGUUAAGUCAGUUGUGAAAGUUUGCGGCUCAACCGUAAAAUUGCAUUUGAUACUGG